Molecule: transfer RNA, 92 nt
Filed under: Kordiimonadales bacterium
Lineage: Bacteria; Pseudomonadati; Pseudomonadota; Alphaproteobacteria; Kordiimonadales
Description: tRNA-Ser
Rfam family: tRNA
About the family: Transfer RNA (tRNA) molecules are approximately 80 nucleotides in length.
Source: RNAcentral
GGAUAGGUGACUGAGAGGUUUAUAGUGCUGGUUUUGAAAACCAGUAUAUUGUUUAUGCAAUAUCGUGGGUUCAAAUCCCACUCUUUCCGACA